Molecule: ribosomal RNA, 460 nt
Filed under: uncultured bacterium
Lineage: Bacteria
Description: partial 16S ribosomal RNA
Rfam family: Bacterial small subunit ribosomal RNA
Source: RNAcentral
CCUACGGGGGGCAGCAGUGAGGAAUAUUGGUCAAUGGACGAGAGUCUGAACCAGCCAAGUAGCGUGAAGGAUGACUGCCCUAUGGGUUGUAAACUUCUUUUAUAUGGGAAUAAAACGUUCCACGAGUGGGAUUUUGUAUGUACCAUAUGAAUAAGGAUCGGCUAACUCCAUGCCAGCAGCCGCGGUAAUACGGAGGAUCCGAGCGUUAUCCGGAUUUAUUGGGUUUAAAGGGAGCGUAGGUGGAUUGUUAAGUCAGUUGUGAAAGUUUGCGGCUCAACCGUAAAAUUGCAGUUGAAACUGGCAGUCUUGAGUACAGUAGAGGUGGGCGGAAUUCGUGGUGUAGCGGUGAAAUGCUUAGAUAUCACGAAGAACUCCGAUUGCGAAGGCAGUUCACUGGACUGCAACUGACACUGAGGCUCGAAAGUGUGGGUAUCAAACAGGAUUAGAUACCCUUGUAGUC